GGAGGAGGGCUGCGGCGGGCUUGGCGGGGAAGUGGCUGCACGGUCCCGGGCGGGGAUGACCCCAUCCCCACCUGCCUCCACCCCGGGUUCAGCAAACACAUAACCCCAGGAUCCAACCUGUGACCAUCUCACCUGACAAUGCCUGCUCCCCCUAAACACAGAGAAGGAAAUUAACUCCGUUCUAAUUAGGAAUCCCCCAGUCAUGUUUGAAGUCUGCAAGUCCGAACAGCGGGCGCAGCUCGGGGAGGAGACCGCCACUUGGAAUCCAACCACCCUCCAUCCCCAGCUCCAGCAUUCUUCCGUUAUUGCCCGCUGUCGAGGAGAUCAAACGGAACAUGACUGCUAAACGGACUUUUUUUUUCCCCUCUCCUUUCGUCUCUUCCUCUCUCACGCCAGGGCCAAUUUUCCAAGGAACUUAAAUCAUUACUGAAAGACGUCUAGGUCCACAGACACCAAGCCCUUUCAGAGACAGGCGUGGGCACCCAAAAGUGAAGCUCAGAAAAGCAGAGGAAACAUUCCUGGUUCCAAGAUUCAGCCAGCCCCACAUUCAGGGAGACUCUCAGCUACUUUGCUGGGUCUCCCCUUCCUUCUUGCCAUCUGCUUGGGGCUAGGCUGUCCCCAGGGUCCCAUUUCUGGAUUCUCUUUGGGCCUCCAACAGUCUGUGUGACCUUUGGUUAUGCCACAGGCAGGCCCUGUGUCCUUAGCAAACAGCACGUUCAUGUGCAAUCGUGUGCCUCUCUGAUGAAUGCUCUCUCCUCCAGAAGCCUUUCCUCAACCCUCCAAGCCCAAAUGGACCACUGCUUCCUCUGGAUCACUUUUUUCUUUUG
Long non-coding RNA from Mesoplodon densirostris (Blainville's beaked whale), 827 nucleotides. RefSeq lists it as uncharacterized. Lineage: Eukaryota; Metazoa; Chordata; Mammalia; Artiodactyla; Ziphiidae. The record is from RefSeq and is a predicted model, not a curated record. The transcript has 3 exons.